GUCCACGCCGUAACGGUGGGUGCUAGUUGUGGGUUCCAUUCCACGGAAUCUGUGACGAAGUUAACACAUUAAGCACCCCGCCUGGGGAGUACGGUCGCAAGACUAAACUCAAGGAAUUGACGGGCCCGGCCACAAGCGGCGGAGCAUGCGGAUUAAUUCGAUGCAACGCGAAGAACCUUACCAAGGCUUGACAUAUACAGGAAAGACGUAGAAAUAACGCUCCCCGCAAGGUCUGUAUACAGGUGGUGCAUGGUUGUCGU
Molecule: ribosomal RNA, 260 nt
Filed under: uncultured bacterium
Lineage: Bacteria
Description: partial 16S ribosomal RNA
Rfam family: Bacterial small subunit ribosomal RNA
Source: RNAcentral